Molecule: long non-coding RNA, 1059 nt
Filed under: Coffea arabica (coffee)
Lineage: Eukaryota; Viridiplantae; Streptophyta; Magnoliopsida; Gentianales; Rubiaceae
Description: long non-coding RNA (CARA_LNC001769)
Source: RNAcentral
UUAGCUUCAAAGAAGGCUCCUUGCAAGAAUCAAAAGGCCAGCGAAUUCUACAAAGAAAGGCAUACCAUACGGAUGUAAAACAGGCAAUCACAAGAAUAGAAAGAAAAACUGAAAACAGAAAGAAAAAGGCAGGAAGUUUAAAAUGAACUCGCCACAACGGCAAAAGCAUAUACCAACAUCAGUUAUAAAAAAACGAGGAAAAAACUUGAAGUCAGUUCAUAAAAAAGACAACGUUACAAAAGCACUUAGAUAACAAUAGUCCAAAACACAUAAAUCUGUAGCAAGAAACUCACCAAGGCAAUUUUCCUAAAAACUCAUCCAAGCUGUUUUUGUCCCAAAAAACUGCAAAAAUCUCUUCUAAACUUGAAAAUCAAGAAGGCUACCGAUAAAUAAAAAUAGUUCAAGCAAAAAAACAACAAUAGGCUAUUGAUUUAAAAAAUCAUUGAUAAAAACUAUUAAACAUAACCUCAAACCUGAAAAAGAUGCCUCCUUUAUCAUUGAUCCCUUGCUCUAUUGGGAAAAAACAGAAAAACCCACAACACGGUUUCUUCAGAAAACAAAAAAAAAAAGUACAAAAGAACUCGGGCAUAAGAAAGUGGAGGAAUUAGAAGAAUCAAAACUUUUAAGCAUACAGAAUGUACUUUAGAAAAGGAAACAAAAGACUUGCAAGAUGUCAUCAGGUUGCCGGAAGUAAUUUCCAAUUUGUCACCUGCAAUAUCAGAAAUAUGUAAAUUAGACAACUACAACCCAUUUAAAAAAAAAAGAAAAAAAUGAGGGCUAGAGAAGUUCUGCAAAGGAAGAAACAAGAACCUUUAAAAGUAUAUACAUAAACCAUCUUUUUUGGCUUAUCAUUAUUCUCCAUCAGAAGACGAAGACAAAGAAAAGAGAAAGAGAAGAAGGGGGCUUUCUCGUCGGAGAAGAAGAAACGAAGAGAAAGAGAGAGAGAGAGAGAGAGAGAGAGAGACGAUGAACAAAGAGGGAGGGAUAAAUGAUGGUUCUGAUCCAGUAGGUGUGACCAAAAAAGCUGACAUUAGGUAAGGUGGGAAAGAGACAUAGGCC